Molecule: ribosomal RNA, 377 nt
Filed under: uncultured bacterium
Lineage: Bacteria
Description: bacterial SSU rRNA
Rfam family: Bacterial small subunit ribosomal RNA
Source: RNAcentral
GACGAACGCUGGCGGCGUGCUUAACACAUGCAAGUCGAGCGGUAAGGCCCUUUCGGGGGUACACGAGCGGCGAACGGGUGAGUAACACGUGGGUGACCUGCCCUCAGCUCUGGGAUAAGCCUGGGAAACCGGGUCUAAUACCGGAUAUGACUCCAUGACGCAUGUUGUGGGGUGGAAAGCCUUGUGCGGCUGAGGAUGGGCCCGCGGCCUAUCAGCUUGUUGGUGGGGUGAUGGCCUACCAAGGCGACGACGGGUAGCCGGCCUGAGAGGGCGACCGGCCACACUGGGACUGAGACACGGCCCAGACCUCCUACGGGAGGCAGCAGGUGGGGAAUCUUGCGCAAGUGGGACGAAAGCCUGACGCAGCGACGCCGCGU